This 442-nucleotide ribosomal RNA is filed under the name uncultured bacterium. Its description in RNAcentral is "partial 16S ribosomal RNA". It matches the Rfam family "Bacterial small subunit ribosomal RNA", at positions 338 to 795 of the family's 1533-position model. The record is from RNAcentral.
CCUACGGGUGGCAGCAGUGGGGAAUAUUGGGCAAUGGGCGAAAGCCUGACCCAGCAACGCCGCGUGAAGGAAGAAGGCUUUCGGGUUGUAAACUUCUUUUGACAGGGAAGAGCAGAAGACGGUACCUGUCGAAUAAGCCACGGCUAACUACGUUCCAGCAGCCGCGGUAAUACGUAGGUGGCAAGCGUUGUCCGGAUUUACUGGGUGGAAAGGGCGUGUAGCCGGGCUGACAAGUCAGAUGUGAAAUCCGCGGGCUCAACCCCCGAACUGCAUUUGAAACUGUUGGUCUUGAGUAUCGGAGAGGCAGGGGGAAUUCCUAGGGUAGCGGUGAAAUGCGUAGAUAUUCGGAGGAACACCAGUGGCGAAGGCGGCCUGCUGGACGACAACUGACGGUGAGGCGCGAAAGCGUGGGGAGCAAACAGGAUUAGAUACCCGGGUAGUC